This 543-nucleotide ribosomal RNA is filed under the name Triticum aestivum (bread wheat). RNAcentral describes it as "partial small subunit ribosomal RNA". The record is from RNAcentral. Lineage: Eukaryota; Viridiplantae; Streptophyta; Magnoliopsida; Poales; Poaceae.
AUGUCCUCAUCAUCGUCCUCCUCUCUCCCCGUGCCAGCGGACUGGCUGCUCCCUCUGAUGCCCUGCCCUCUGUGUGGCGACGAGGUUGUCACCGCCGUCGCUAGGACCGGCAACAACGCCGGUCAUCGUUUCUACAAGUGCAUCCGCUACGAUUGUCGUUUCUUCGAGUUCCAGCGCACAUAUUGCAGGAGGAUGACUCAGGACCAGAUUGUUGCUGCGCGGCAUCAAGCCGGAUGGCACCCGGCUGGGCAUGGAUUUGCAGUUCAUCAUGGCAACCCGCCUGUCCAGAUGGUUCCAGCUGUCAUACAACCCCAGGCGCAACAGCACGCCCAGCCGCAUCUUCCGCCGCAGAUCCAGGCUGCGAUGCACCAGUCACCGCAGGCGGUCAACAAUAUGUUUGCUGAAGCCAUCAUGCCAGCUGCGUCGGCCGGGGCAGCAUCUGGUGCACAAGGACUGGCCGCAGUUGUCGUGCUCAUGGCUACUGUCAACAUCUUGCUCACCGUUGCCGUCCUGAUGGUCGUGCUUGCUAUGUACUUUGCUUAA